AUUCUAGCACCCCGACCCCUACCUCAGCCCCCAACUCUAAAUAACUUCUUUCCACCUUGCUAAGAAUGCGAUGUUGUGAUUCACAUCAAGCUUUAGGAGGCUCCCCAUAUGUAGGGAACUGGGGUGAGGGGCAGGGCACGAGUCACUGUUCCAGGUUACGGAGCUUUGGUUAACACGGAGAGAAGCUACACAGAGACUCACACAGUAUGCAAAUACCUACGGAGAUACAUAAGGAAAGGCCCCGGCCUGGUUAAGGAAAAGGAGCCUAUAAAAGCUCUCCAGUAUGCAUUCUUAGAAACCAGAUAUACAAAGACAAGCUCUCUGCUUUCAAGAAGCUCUCAAUCUGAUCGAGGAGAGAAACAGGUAGCAAAUAAUGACAGCAGAGCGUGCAGAACUGGGAAGAAAGGACCCUGAAAAGUUAGCUGGUUCCAAGUGACCCUCCAAGG
Molecule: non-coding RNA, 446 nt
Filed under: Pongo abelii (Sumatran orangutan)
Lineage: Eukaryota; Metazoa; Chordata; Mammalia; Primates; Hominidae
Source: RNAcentral